RNAcentral lists this ribosomal RNA (477 nucleotides) under uncultured soil bacterium. Its description in RNAcentral is "bacterial SSU rRNA". It matches the Rfam family "Bacterial small subunit ribosomal RNA", at positions 26 to 506 of the family's 1533-position model. The record is from RNAcentral.
AGAUUGAACGCUGGCGGCAGGCCUAACACAUGCAAGUCGAGCGGCAGCACGGGUACUUGUACCUGGUGGCGAGCGGCGGACGGGUGAGUAAUGCCUAGGAAUCUGCCUGGUAGUGGGGGAUAACGCUCGGAAACGGACGCUAAUACCGCAUACGUCCUACGGGAGAAAGCAGGGGACCUUCGGGCCUUGCGCUAUCAGAUGAGCCUAGGUCGGAUUAGCUAGUUGGUGAGGUAAUGGCUCACCAAGGCGACGAUCCGUAACUGGUCUGAGAGGAUGAUCAGUCACACUGGAACUGAGACACGGUCCAAGACUCCUACGGGAGCAGCAGUGGGAAUAUUGGACAAUGGGCGAAAGCCUGAUCCAGCCAUGCCGCGUGUGUGAAGAAGGUCUUCGGAUUGUAAGCUACUUUAAGUGGAGAAGGCAGUUACUAAUACGUAUCUGUUUGACGUUACGACAGAAUAAGCACGCUAACUCUGU